CCUACGGGGGGGCAGCAGGCGCGAAAACUUUACAAUGCGGGAAACCGUGAUAAGGGGACACCGAGUGCUAGCAUCAUAUGCUGGCUGUCCAGGUGUGUAAAAUACACCUGUUAGCAAGGGCCGGGCAAGACCGGUGCCAGCCGCCGCGGUAA
This 152-nucleotide ribosomal RNA is filed under the name uncultured Methanobacterium sp. RNAcentral's name for it is "partial 16S ribosomal RNA". It matches the Rfam family "Archaeal small subunit ribosomal RNA", at positions 322 to 473 of the family's 1478-position model. The record is from RNAcentral. Lineage: Archaea; Methanobacteriati; Methanobacteriota; Methanobacteria; Methanobacteriales; Methanobacteriaceae.